CAUAGAGUUAAUGUCAAUGGGUUGUUAGUGGCUCUUUUAUUCCAUGCCACUUCUGUCUGACUGUCACUUCUCAGAUUUGUGCAGACUUCACAACGCAGAAUACCAAGUCACGACAGGAGAGAUGGAGAGAGACUGGGAGCAUGAGAGAAGCUGCAAGUCUAAAACGAAUGGGAGGACACCAGGAUAGUAAGGUUGACGGGGGUGGGCAUCUAUUACGUCAAAGGAAAGGGAGGACGUGCUGCACAGUUCUUUCAAAGAUUUCACAGAAUACAAAGCUGGACUUAAUAUCGCUCUCAUAGCCGCUUGCUCCCAUGGAGAGCGCCUGAAAUGCAGCGAGGGUGAGGCGGGCCAGGCGGUGUACUGUAGCAGUGUGGACCUCCAAGGUUGUAGCAACAUACCUUCCCCAUGGUGGGUCCUGGGUCUCAGGCAACUAUUACAGGCCAGUAGACUCUACCAGGGGAAUACCUCUCUCUCUGUCUCUGUCUCUGUCUCUGUCUGUCUGUCUCUCUCUCUCUCUUGCAUGCUGUUUACCCCAACGCUGUCAAACUCAGAACCGGACCAGUCCAGAACCAAGUACUCACUGAGGGGGGUGUACAUCUCCUUCAACACCACUGCUACAUCAUGUCCUUGUUUGGACGUAGUUUUGUUCUUAGCUUUUGGCUUCACUUUAGCUUGUAUUAUUAUUUCUUACAACAUAAUAUUUGCAUUGUCAACAUUACUAAAAACAUAAGUAGAUUUUAUGUGAACUACUCCUUAUACAUUACAUUGUUGCAACUUGGAAAUAGUUAUACAUUUUCACAACUUUAUGCUCGAUUGUGAGAUACUGUAUGUAAGUGCAACCAUUAAUUUGAUGAAAAUAAAUAUUGUAAAUUGAUAAUACUCUACAGGAUGAUGUAUCAAGUUGAAGAUGCAACAGUAAACAUUAAAUAUGUUCUGUCUAUUGAAAGUUUUGUUCAUGGAAGGCUAAUUGACACUUAUUUCUGAUUGUCAAGUGUCAAUGUGAUUUAGCUCUAUUUUAUUGAGGUAAUAAUAACAAGCUACGUAGAUAGGUAGACAACGUGGAUAGGUAGAUCGAUAGAAAAUGUCCGUUUUAGUCUCUAUUUGUUACUAAAUGAAUAACAUGUCUCUCUUUGAGCUAUCCUACGUACUGUCUGUUUGCUCAUUCGACCCAACGAUCGUAAUAAGAAGAAGUGCUGCAGCAUUUCUUCCAGUGUCUUAGAAUAUAUUUCAAAGCAUGACAUUCCUUCACUUCAAAACUCUUGGCUCACUUCCCAGCCGAUGCAGUCCCAUGUGAUACUACUGCUUACCUUGUGAUUAUUUAGUUUGUCACUCAACCUCAGAAUCUUCUCAUUUCUAGAACCAUGCAUGACGGCAGGCAGAAAGAAUAUCAUAACUAUCCACGUUACAAAAAUAUUCCCAUGCAAUUUGUUGCUACUUUUCAGAUUGAUUUUUUCACAUUUUCACGAAUUAUCGUGAAUUAGCUCAACGUUAAAUGAUAAUACUUGUAGUGAUGAUUAAUACAUUGUGGAGACGAUUGUGACUUUAGAUAUUUCUGAACAUGUAUUUUACCCAUUGAUCUAUUACAAAUUAUAAAUGCAAUAUUAAAAAAAGAUAAGAUGGAAUAAAGCAUUUAGAAAUGAAAUACUACCACAAUAUAUUUUUGUAAAUGAAAUAGUCAUUCCAAUCAUAUUUUAUCUUAAAUGUAUACAUGAUCUUUUUUAUCAAAGUCUAUUCAAUAUAAUUUCACUUUUAAUAUCAUUAUUAUAAUUUCUCCGGUCAUUAUUUCUACUUUUGUUGUUGAUAUUGUAGUUAUAUUGUAUUAUCUUGUACCAUUUACUGUGGUUGCAUGUUUGAAUUUGGGGAGUUUGGUGUGUUAAUUAAACAUAUUAUAUGUCUUAAUGAUAAAUGUUCUAUUAGGUCUAUACUUACUCUUAAUAAUAUUUUUUUAAAUUGAAACGCUAACAUAAGUACUUGACCAAUGUAUAGACUUUGUCAAAUGUAUGCCUUUUAAAUUGAAAAGGGUGCUUUCAAAAAAAUAUGUUAUUUAAUAUAUUAUUAAGUUAACCUACAUUUAAAUCAAACAUCAGGUUAGUUGAUGAUUCCAGUCACCCCCUUAUUCAUGUCUGCAAGACAGCCUCUCUCUAUGACCUUGGUCAUACAUAAUGUGACAGGCAUGAGGACAAACACGCUGUGAAUCUGAGACGCCGUUUAGCCAAGGUCAACAACCCUCCUGCACUUAACGCAACAUACAGA
Molecule: long non-coding RNA, 2253 nt
Organism: Oncorhynchus tshawytscha (Chinook salmon)
Lineage: Eukaryota; Metazoa; Chordata; Actinopteri; Salmoniformes; Salmonidae
Source: Ensembl